This 586-nucleotide ribosomal RNA is filed under the name Bacillus sp. HPC982. RNAcentral describes it as "bacterial SSU rRNA". It matches the Rfam family "Bacterial small subunit ribosomal RNA", at positions 43 to 609 of the family's 1533-position model. The record is from RNAcentral. Lineage: Bacteria; Bacillati; Bacillota; Bacilli; Caryophanales; Bacillaceae.
GGUGUCGUUACCGUGCCCUUAGUUUUCCCGGUUCCGUUUGGUUUGAUCUUGGUCCCUGAUAUCCCGGCGGAGGGGUGAGUAACACGUGGGUAACCUGCCUGUAAGAAGGGGAUAACUCCGGGAAACCGGGGCUAAUACCGGAUAACUCAUUUCCUCGCAUGAGGAAAUGUUGAAAGGUGGCUUCUGCUACCACUUUCAGAUGGACCCCCGGCGCAUUAACUAGUUGGUGAGGUAACCGCUCACCCAGGGAACGAUGCGUAGCCGAACUGAGAGGGUGAUCCGCCACACUGGGACUGAAACCCCGCCCAAACUCCUACGGGAAGCAGCAGUAAGGAAUCCUCCGCAAUGGAACAAAAUCUGACGGAGCAACGGCGCGUGAGUGAUGAAGGUUUCGGAUCGUAAAACUCUGGUUGUAGGGGAGAACAAGUGGCGGUCCAAUAAGGGGGCCCCUUGGAGGGACCUAACCAAAAAGCCCCGCUAAAUUCCUUGCCAGCGCCGCCGUUAAUACUAAGUGGAAGCGUUUUCCGGAUUAUUGGGCGGAAAGCGCGCGCGGGGGUUCCUAAAUCUGAUGGGGAACCCCCGGUCC